UGUAUCUGUAGUGGAAAUGCUCAGUCACAGCUAGAAGCAGUGAUUGAGCACCUGGGCCAACCCAGGGGAGCUCAGGUGCAUGCAGUGCAGCUGGGUGACUGCAAAGGCUGGAGCCAGGAUCCACCCCUUCUCAGCCCUCAUUUGAGGGUUGGCAGUGGAGGUGAGGGGAUCUUGCUGGAGAUCCCUGCGUACUUGAGGUUUUCUGAAGUGCCUACUAUCUACUCUGGAGUACUUAUCUGCAGAAAGCUCAAACUCUACACCUAUCUCAGCUUUCAAGGGUCUAUGGAAGCAUUGCCUUUGGUAUAAGGAAACAAAACAGAAGAUCACUAUGGUAUCAAUAAACAUGCUGUCAGCAAGAUGUGUAAGCUACCUGCAAGCUGAAUUCCAUUUACAGGUGCCAAAGUUCUGGCGCACUCACCGUAGGACACGUGUCCUUUUCCUCUGGGAUGGUGCCGUGACAGUGCAAGGAUCUAAGCCAGCACUCGGGUGGGAGCAGCAGGGAGCUGGGAAGGCAUUGCCUCGCAGUGUAUAAUGGAAUUACGGCACUGAGGAAUACUUAAAUUUUGCUUGAUGUCAGAAGCCCCUGGAAGAGAGAGCAUCCCUGUGGCUCUGUAGGAAACUCAGAUACGGAUGGAGAAAGGAGUCAGGGUUGGUGCAGGCUGUUGGAUGAGCCUUGGUGGAAGAAGUCCUGUUUCAGGUAACCAAACUGAUUUCUGUGUCCCGAGACUUCAUGCUCCAAUGCUAGACACAGUCUGCAGUGACUUGCAGCUGCGAGGGAAUGGGAUUCUCUGGUGUUUCAGGUGACCAGGUUGCUGAAGGUAUGCAGGUUGAGCCCUGAAGCCAGAGCUGCUGUAGCAGUGUAACACCUUGCCAUUGAUAGGUGUUCUGCUGCGUCUCCUCAUGCUGCAGUCUUCUUGCUGCUGAGGGUCUCCUCUUCUGAGCCUUUGUGUACACACCAAUCCAAACCGAGCAUGAGGAUUAGACAAGAGAAUGAUGAUAAAUAACACUGUAAACAGGAAGAAAAAAUUGAAGAAGUUCUUAAAACGGGCUGAAAAAGAAGAGUUUGAGUCCUGUGAGGCACUUGAGCAAGCUGGAGGACAAGUGCAUGUGCCGAAAGUGAGGAGACGGAUUCUUCUGUUCCUUGCAGAUGCUGGGGCUUGGAGUAGAGCCUGCUUUUGGCUUUGAUUCAGCUCAGCACCUGCCCAGCAGCUCCAUAUGAAAAGUAUCUUGCCUUCGAUGUCCUGGUGCAGCUUGCCUUAUCUAGGUGGGGUGACCUAUGUAAUUGGGUGACUUGUCUAGCUGUUUCUAGCCCCACUGAAAUGUUAAUUUCAAUUUGAAUCUGUCCCUUCUUUCUCUGGCCAGCUUUCAUCUUGCCAUUGAUUCUUUCCUAUUGAGUGCAAUUAAGAAGGAUGAUCCUGUCCUUGGUUAAUGAUAUCUACCAGUGAGUCAUGUCUGUACUUAGAAAUGAGAGCAGGAUAUUUCAAUUGAGCAUAACAGAGAUGACAACAGAGACUGACAAACUUGGACUUUCGCUCUUCCUUCCUUUUCACUGGCAACAGUAACAUGAGGAGCCCAAGAGAGCUCGCUGCUGGGCAGGUUUUGCCUUUCCCCCAUCCACAAAGAAGUCCUUUAGAGUCCAGUGAUGUGCUCUUGAAACACUGAUUUGCGCUGAGUUCUGUCAGACCAUCACAGAUGGUUCCGUGACCUCAGUCUGUUCUGUACAUGUGUCAUUAACACAGCCAAGAUCGGGGGAGCAAUGGUUCUCUUUGUUUGAUGUUCUCAGCCUGCUUGGCCUCCUAUAGGAGUCCUGUCCCAUCUCAGAGCUGCAGGAGAUGGCUGCAGUACAGGGCUGAUGGUCUGGCACAUCGUGUGGUGCAUGCUGCGGAGGGCUGGCAUCAAUCUUAUCCCCUUAAUGCACUGAUGAACACUGUACAGACUAGUGAUGUGAGGCACUGAGGGUCUUAAUCAGCCCAUCACAGAGCACAGCAUCAGUGUGAUUAUCCAGUGGCUUCGCUCAUGACCUCAGUUCAAGAAUACUUUUGCUCUUUGGGAAAUUGCUCUUUUUGUCUCUGGUCAAACUCAUCUCUGAACUGAUCCUCUCGGCCAUCUGAAGCUUAGCUUUCUGCACCAUUUAUUUGUUGUCUGUUCUCACUUAAACUGCUGGUUCUGAUGAUAUAUGGUUCUCUUAAUAGAUAAGCAAGCCAGUGUAUGUGGUGUAAAUGUUUCCUUAUAAGUUAGCUUACAAAUGAAGGAGUUGUUUCAUCAGAAUAAACUGAGUUUUCAAAGUGAGAUUAACAAAGAGAGGUCUAGCUGAAUUACUCUCUAAAGAACUUCACUGUAAAGCUUUUGAAUGCCUGACGUAUAUACGUAUA
Long non-coding RNA from Lagopus muta (rock ptarmigan), 2372 nucleotides. RefSeq lists it as uncharacterized. The record is from RefSeq and is a predicted model, not a curated record. The transcript has 7 exons. NCBI's taxonomy places the organism in Eukaryota, Metazoa, Chordata, Aves, Galliformes, Phasianidae.